AAAAAAGCAAAAAUAAUGUUUAUAAUAUGCAUGCUUUUAUAUAAAUAAAAUACAUUUAUACGUUAUAUACUAAUAAAACAAGAAACAACAACAAAAUUACUAUUAUCCUAAAAAGAGAAAAAAGAGAAAAAAAAAAAAAAAAAAAAUCAACAACAACAACAACAACAAUGAGCGUUUAUAAUUUUUAUCAAAAUCUAAUCCCCAGCCAAUCGAUAAGAACUGCUUUAUGUUGUGAUAUAAAAGGUAAUGGGAAAAAGUAUUUAAUAUACGCAAAUAAUAAUUCAUUAAAUGUUUGUUCUGUUGAUAAGGAUGGCUAUACAGAUGAUCAUAGUAAACAUUUCAUUUUUUCUGAUAUACUAGAGAUAAGAGAAUAUAAACCACGAAAAUUAAUUGAUACAAAUAAAAAUAAAAAUAUUAAAUCUUAUAUAUUUUUAUUAACAAAAGAAUAUAAAUUAUUAUUAUUAGAAUUUAAUACAAAAUUAAAUGAAUUUAUUACAUUAUCUAAAACAAAUUUACGAGAUGUAAUUGGAUUACAUAUAGAUGAAGAAAUAAUUUUUUUAUUAAAUGAAAAAAAUAGUGCAAUUGUAUUUUAUGCAUAUAAAAAUAUAAUGAAAUAUAUUUUAUUAGACUAUGACGAUUAUUUUAAUUUAAAUCAUUUAUAUACAGUUAGGUUGGAAGAUGGUUAUGUUAUAGACAUAAUAUUUUUAAAUUAUUACGAUGAAGAAAAUGAAGAAAAUGAAGAAAAUGGAGAAAAUGAAGAAAAUGAAGAAAAUGGAGAAAAUGGAGAAAAUGGAGAAAAUAAAGGAAAUGGAGAAAAUGGAGAAAAUAAAGAAAAUAAAAAAAAUAAAGAAAAUAAAAAAAAUAAAGAAAAUAAAAAAAAUAAAGAAAAUAAAGAAAAUAAAAAAAAUAAAGAAAAUAAAAAAAAUAAAGAAAAAUAUGGAGCAGAUUAUUGUUUAUGUAAUAACAGUAAUGUUAAUGUUAGUAGUGGAAAUUAUAUGUACAAUGGUCAUAUGUAUUAUCCUAGUAACGAGUUGGAUGUUAAGGAAAGUACAAAAAAACAAAAAAAUAAAAAAUCACAUUCUUUUAUUAAUUCACCAAUGAAUAAUAAUAAUAAUAAAAAUUAUCCUAUUUGUAUUGAUGACAAUAAUAAUGCAAGUUCUAUUGUAAAUAAAAAAAAUAUUAACAAUAAUAACAAUAAUAAUAACAAUAAUAAUAACAAUAAUAAUAAUAUUAUAUAUAACAAUAUAAAUAAUAAAAAAACGUACGAUUUUGAAAAUAUGCAAAUUGAACAAACAUAUAAUGAUGAUAGUACAUCUAUAAAAAACAUGACUAAAAAUAAAUACGAUAAAUUAAUUAAUGUAAGUAGUAAUAGUGUAAGUAGUAAUAAUGUAAGUAGUAAUAAUGUAAGUAGUAAUAAUGUAAGUAGUAAUAGUUAUGUAAACAAAGACAAAAAUUAUAACCAUAUUAAUACGAUAAACAAUAAAAAUACAUUUAAUGAACAUUCAGUUAUACCUAAAGUAUUUGAAACGCACGAGGAUGAUAUUUUUAAUAUGAUGUUGGAUGGAUAUAAAGAUAAUAAUCCGUAUGAGAAAAAGCAAAAUUUAAAAAAAGAAAAGAAAAAAAUAAAAAAAAUAUUUGAAAAAAAACUAAAAGAACAUUGUGAUAGUAUGUAUUUACAUAACAACAAUACUAAUACUUAUCGUAAUAGUUAUAAAAUAAAUUCAGAAGAAAAAUUUAAAAAUAAGAAAUGGAAUGAAAGUAGUGAAAAUUGUUCUAACAUUUCUUUAUGUUUUUAUAAUUUAAAAAAUAUUUUAUUUGAUGAAAAAAAAUAUGUAAAAAAAAUAUAUUAUGAAAAAAAAAAAUAUAUUAUUAACUAAUAGAAGAAAAGUUAAUAUAUGUCCUAGUCCAAUAAAAUUUAAAAAAUUUGAUAAUAUAUUUUCUGA
This 1943-nucleotide long non-coding RNA is filed under the name Piliocolobus tephrosceles (Ugandan red Colobus). RNAcentral's name for it is "lncRNA (ENSPTEG00000002813.1)". The record is from RNAcentral. Lineage: Eukaryota; Metazoa; Chordata; Mammalia; Primates; Cercopithecidae.